RNAcentral lists this long non-coding RNA (508 nucleotides) under Manihot esculenta (cassava). RNAcentral's name for it is "long non-coding RNA (MESC_LNC006095)". Lineage: Eukaryota; Viridiplantae; Streptophyta; Magnoliopsida; Malpighiales; Euphorbiaceae. The record is from RNAcentral.
UCCUCAUGUUGUGCUCCUUGUCAAGUCAACACCUUCUGUGUGGUUUCUAGAUUUAGCCUGUAAUCAGGUCAUUUCACCAUCUUUCUUCCUCCUAGACCCUUAUGUUGUUGUUAUCAGCUUUUCUUGAUUUGCCAUGUGGAUCUCAAUGGAUUUUUUAUGGAAACUCCAGCAACAGGAUAGUCUCUUUCAUUCCCAUAGACGACGCUAAUUGAUGAGGUGAGAUCCAGUGGGAUCACCAGAUGCGGAUACCUGGACUGUGAUUUGAUUUACUGGGCAGAUCAAUGAACUGCAAUUCGUUCAAUAAGGAGUGGAUGCCCUUGAGAUUUCAUAUGGAUUCUUCCAUGCUCGAUCUUAAGGAUGAAGCCUGCAAAACAUGAGAAAAAGGGAUCAGAGGUCUACCAGGGAUGACUCGGUAAAGACCAUCCGACGCUCAAGUCAGAUCUAGACUUUUUUAAUGGAGUAAAGAGAAAAUAAGAAUAGAGUAUUGAGGAGAAGGAGAAAGUUCCUG